Molecule: ribosomal RNA, 481 nt
Filed under: uncultured bacterium
Lineage: Bacteria
Description: partial 16S ribosomal RNA
Rfam family: Bacterial small subunit ribosomal RNA
Source: RNAcentral
GGCGAACGUUGGCGGCGUGCUUAAUACAUGCAAGUCAACUGAAGCAGUUGUAUCAAUAUCGCUGUGUAGGUGGCGCACGGGUUAGUAACACGUUGGUUAUCUUCCUUCUGUUCUUGCUUAACUCCUGGAAACCGGGGCUAAUAGCAGAUGAUGCAUCGUCUCGACAUCUAGUCAGUUGUUAAAUCUAUGUCUCCUUAUGAUGAGCCUGCGUCUGAUUAGCUAGUUGUCGGGGUAACGGCCCACCAAGGCAACGAUCAGUAGCUGGUUUGAGAGGAUGAUCAGCAAAAGUGGAAGUGAGAAAAGGACCAGACUACGACGGGAGGCAGAAGAAAGGAAUAUUGAUGAAAGGGAGAAAAAAUGAAGCAGCAAAGCAGCGAGAGGGACGAAGGGCUGUAGCUUGUAAAACGAGGUAGAGAGAGAAAAAAAACCCAAUCUAUGGGACAUGAUGGUAACUAAAAAGUAAGCCCCGGCUAACUACGUG